This 468-nucleotide ribosomal RNA is filed under the name uncultured bacterium. RNAcentral describes it as "partial 16S ribosomal RNA". It matches the Rfam family "Bacterial small subunit ribosomal RNA", at positions 28 to 507 of the family's 1533-position model. The record is from RNAcentral.
GACGAACGCUGGCGGCGUGCUUAACACAUGCAAGUCGAACGGAAAGGCCCUGCUUUUGUGGGGUGCUCGAGUGGCGAACGGGUGAGUAACACGUGAGUAACCUGCCCUUGACUUUGGGAUAACUCCAGGAAACUGGGGCUAAUACCGGAUAGGAGCUCCUGCUGCAUGGUGUGGGUUGGAAAGUUUCGGCGGUUGGGGAUGGACUGGCGGCUUAUCAGCUUGUUGGUGGGGUAGUGGCUUACCAAGGCUUUGACGGGUAGCCGGCCUGAGAGGGUGACCGGCCACAUUGGGACUGAGAUAGGGACCAGAAGCCUACGGGAGGCAGCAGGGGAGAAUAUUGCACAAUGGGGGGAAGCCUGAUGCAGCAACGCCGCGUGCGGGAUGACGGCCUUCGGGUUGUAAACAGCUUUCGAAUGUGACGAAGAGUGAGUGACGGUAAUGGGUAAAGAAGCACCGGCUAACUACGUG